RNAcentral lists this transfer RNA (72 nucleotides) under Actinobacteria bacterium BACL2 MAG-120802-bin41. Its description in RNAcentral is "tRNA-Gln". It matches the Rfam family "tRNA". From Rfam's summary of the family: Transfer RNA (tRNA) molecules are approximately 80 nucleotides in length. Their secondary structure includes four short double-helical elements and three loops (D, anti-codon, and T loops). RNAcentral also lists the same sequence under 3 other names. Lineage: Bacteria; Bacillati; Actinomycetota; Actinomycetes. The record is from RNAcentral.
AUCGGUUUGGUGUAGUGGUUAGCGCGCUCGACUUUGAAUCGAGAGGCACGGGUUCGAUUCCCGUAGCCGAUA